GGAUAAGACAUGCAAGGUCGAACGGGGUGCCUGUAGCAAUAUGGGCAUUCAGUGGCGGACGGGUGCGUAACACGUGGGCAAUUUGCCCGGAAGAGGGGGAUAGCCCGCCGAAAGGCGGAUUAAUACCGCAUGUGACCCUGGGGAGCAUUUCCUGGGAGUUAAAGGAGUGAUCCGCUUCCGGAUGAGCCCGCGGCCUAUCAGCUAGUUGGUGAGGUAACGGCUUACCAAGGCUACGACGGGUAGCUGGUCUUAGAGGACGACCAGCCACACUGGAACUGAGACACGGUCCAGACACCUACGGGUGGCAGCAGUCGAGAAUCUUUCACAAUGGGGGAAACCCUGAUGGAGCGACGCCGCGUGGAGGAUGAAGGUCUUCGGAUUGUAAACUCCUGUCAUGAGGGAACAAAGCCCGCGAGGGUGUGAUAGUACUUCAAGAGGAAGGGACGGCUAACUUCGUG
Molecule: ribosomal RNA, 458 nt
Filed under: uncultured bacterium
Lineage: Bacteria
Description: bacterial SSU rRNA
Rfam family: Bacterial small subunit ribosomal RNA
Source: RNAcentral